CAAAGCUGCAACUUUUGAAGGCAGAAUAGCUUACAGUAUCUCCUACUUACAGUCCAGAUCCUGGCCACAUUUUAAAGGUGCAAAGCUAGCUACUGCCUGCCUUUUAGACAAAGCAUCCUUCAGAUGGCUGAGGGUCUUUCGAUGGAGGUAGUGUGGAGUAGCUGCUGGCCCUGACACGGAGCAGGAGGGAGAGGAACUGAAGCGUCUGAAAACGCUUUUGAAGCAGGAGGUGCUAGGCUUCAUCUACUGCUUUUUAAGAAGGGAGUGGUUAUUUCUGGCACUUUUCCUAGGUCUAAUCAAUACAGCGUGGUAACAGUGACUGAGUGUCAGAGAAUCUGCUCAGAAUCUGCUCAUCAUCCUUUGAUUUACCUGCUGUGGUUUGAUGCCUGCUGUAACUUCUGAAUACUCUUAUUGAGGCACCUUAUUCUUAUGCAACAUUAACUUGCAGUACUAGAAAAAGACUCAUCGAUGAUACUUUCUUGCUUAAUUUCAGUACUUUAUUCUUCACUGGUAAAUUUGGUCUACUUUUUAAUUGAAAGGAUCUUAGCUUGGAGUAAAUGAACUUUUAUGGAUUCCUUAUGAGCGUAUAGUGUGUAU
RNAcentral lists this long non-coding RNA (597 nucleotides) under Bos taurus (domestic cattle). RNAcentral's name for it is "long non-coding RNA NONBTAT021814". Lineage: Eukaryota; Metazoa; Chordata; Mammalia; Artiodactyla; Bovidae. The record is from RNAcentral.